RNAcentral lists this transfer RNA (17 nucleotides) under Gambelia wislizenii (Longnose leopard lizard). RNAcentral's name for it is "partial tRNA-Asx". Lineage: Eukaryota; Metazoa; Chordata; Lepidosauria; Squamata; Crotaphytidae. The record is from RNAcentral.
CUAGACAGGAGGGCCUC